RNAcentral lists this long non-coding RNA (301 nucleotides) under Gossypium barbadense (sea-island cotton). RNAcentral's name for it is "long non-coding RNA (GBAR_LNC016373)". The record is from RNAcentral. Lineage: Eukaryota; Viridiplantae; Streptophyta; Magnoliopsida; Malvales; Malvaceae.
ACUUUGUCACUUGAUCAGAUAAGAGUAGAUAAGAGUAGCUAAGGCUACCACUUAUCACUUUCUCACUUGAUCAGAUAACUGUAGCUAAGGCUAACACUUAUCACUUUGUCACUUGAUCAGAUAAGUAUAGCACUUAUCACUUUUUCACUUGAUCAGAUAAGUGUAGCUAAAGCUACCACUUAUCACUUUGUCUCUUGAUCAGAUAAGUGUAGCACUUAUCACUUUUUCACUUGAUCAGAUAAGUGUAGCUAAUGCUACCACUUAUCACUUUCUCACUUGAUCAGAUAAGUGUAGCUAAUGC